GACGAACGCUGGCGGCGUGCCUAACACAUGCAAGCCAACUUGACUGAAGGAGCAAUCUGACAGUAGAGUGGCGCAAGGGUGCGUAACGCGUAAGUAACUUGCCCAAGGUAAGGAAUAACGUCGAGAAAUCGGCGCUAAUACCUCAUAAUGCAGCGGAUCCGCAUGGAUAUGUUGUUAAAGGUUUACCGCCUUGGGAUAGGCUUGCGUCUGAUUAGUUAGUUGGUGUGGUAACGGCACACCAAGGCUACGAUCAGUAACUGGUCUGAGAGGAUGAUCAGUCACACUGGAACUGAGACACGGUCCAGACUCCUACGGGAGGCAGCAGUGAGGAAUAUUGGGCAAUGCUCGAAAGAGUGACCCAGCAACGCCGCGUGGAGGAUGAAGGUAUUCUAUAUCGCAAACUCCUAGUGAGAGCAGACGAAAGACAGAUUAUAAUCUGGAUGACUGUAUGCUCAGAGGAAGCCCCGGCUAACUACG
This 477-nucleotide ribosomal RNA is filed under the name uncultured bacterium. Its description in RNAcentral is "bacterial SSU rRNA". It matches the Rfam family "Bacterial small subunit ribosomal RNA", at positions 28 to 505 of the family's 1533-position model. The record is from RNAcentral.